CGUAGGCGGCCCUAUAAGUCAGAUGUGAAAGCCCGGGGCUUAACCCCGGAAGUGCAUUUGAAACUAUUGGGCUUGAGUAUGGGAGAGGGAAGUGGAAUUCCUGGUGUAGAGGUGAAAUUCGUAGAUAUCAGGAGGAACAUCGGUGGCGAAGGCGACUUCCUGGACCAAUACUGACGCUGAGGCGCGAAGGCGUGGGGAGCAAACA
RNAcentral lists this ribosomal RNA (205 nucleotides) under uncultured bacterium. Its description in RNAcentral is "partial 16S ribosomal RNA". It matches the Rfam family "Bacterial small subunit ribosomal RNA", at positions 570 to 774 of the family's 1533-position model. The record is from RNAcentral.